RNAcentral lists this ribosomal RNA (497 nucleotides) under uncultured bacterium. RNAcentral's name for it is "bacterial SSU rRNA". It matches the Rfam family "Bacterial small subunit ribosomal RNA", at positions 28 to 484 of the family's 1533-position model. The record is from RNAcentral.
GAUGAACGCUGGCGGCAUGCCUAAGACAUGCAAGUCGAACGGAGUGGUCCAAUGAAGGCUGAGUGCUUGCACAAAGUUGGAUUUGGGUUUCCACUUAGUGGCAGACGGGUGAGUAACACGUAGGUAACCUACCUCAAAGUCUGGGAUAACAGGACGAAAGUUUUGCUAAUACCGGAUGAUUUGUAGACAGAUAACUAUCUAUACUAAAAGAAGCGUUUGCUUCGCUUUGAGAUGGGCUUGCGGUGUAUUAGCUAGUUGGUGAGGUAAUGGCCCACCAAGGCAACGAUGCAUAGCCGAGCUGAGAGGCUGAACGGCCACACUGGGACUGAGACACGGCCCAGACUCCUACGGGAGACAGCAGUUAGGAAUAUUCGUCAAUGGGGAAACCCUGAACGAGCGAUGCCGCGUGAGUGAUGAAGGUCCUUUGGAUUGUAAAAACUCUAGUUGUAAAAGGAAGAAACUCUAAUCAAUAGGAAAUGAUAGAUAGACUGUAACGG